RNAcentral lists this ribosomal RNA (131 nucleotides) under Cladophialophora yegresii. Its description in RNAcentral is "partial large subunit ribosomal RNA". Lineage: Eukaryota; Fungi; Ascomycota; Eurotiomycetes; Chaetothyriales; Herpotrichiellaceae. The record is from RNAcentral.
UUCUGAGGGUCGGUCAAAGGCUCUGGGAAUGUAUCUACCUACGGGUAGACUUAUAGACCAGGGUGUCAUGCGGCCUCUCGGGACCGAGGAACGCGCUUCGGCUCGGAUGUUGGCGUAAUGGUUGUCAGCGA